UACAGAGGUCCCAAGCGUUGUUCGGAUUCACUGGGCGUAAAGGGUGCGUAGGCGGUCGGGUAAGUCCGGCGUGAAAUCUCCAAGCCUAACUUGGAAACUGCGUUGGAUACUAUCCGGCUCGAGGAAUGGAGGGGAGACUGGAAUACUUGGUGUAGCAGUGAAAUGCGUAGAUAUCAAGUGGAACACCAGUGGCGAAGGCGAGUCUCUGGACAUUUCCUGACGCUGAGGCACGAAAGCCAGGGGAGCAAACGGG
RNAcentral lists this ribosomal RNA (253 nucleotides) under uncultured bacterium. RNAcentral's name for it is "partial 16S ribosomal RNA". It matches the Rfam family "Bacterial small subunit ribosomal RNA", at positions 524 to 776 of the family's 1533-position model. The record is from RNAcentral.